UCUAGAACUCGAGAUACAGGUUAAACACUAAACAAUGUCUAGGCUGCAGGACAGAUUCAGACUUCUCCAUUGUUGCUAUAAUUUGGACUUGAAAACGGCCUUUUUAAAUCUUGGACUCCACAUGAAAGUUUUAGGAAUAUGUCUUAGCUUUCCAUC
Molecule: non-coding RNA, 156 nt
Organism: Populus trichocarpa (black cottonwood)
Lineage: Eukaryota; Viridiplantae; Streptophyta; Magnoliopsida; Malpighiales; Salicaceae
Source: Rfam